GAGAAAGACAGAUGGGAAUUUGUGCCUUCUCUCCACUGAAAGCAACAGGGAGAAAGUCUUGGAGCUGGGAACCCUUCCUGAUUGUUUACUCUGCCUGGCUACCUGCCCAUAGCAGCUUCUUGGAUCUCUCCCUGAGAGCCCCCAUGACAGCUAUUCUGAAGGUCAGUUAUUUGCAUGCUUGUUAACACACAUCCUGUAGGACAAGCAAGGACAAGAAGAGACAUGCAAACUUAAAUGAAACCAUUCAGGUACAGUUGUAAAGGCUGAACAGCCUGAGUGUACACAGCCUGAGUGAGGCCUGCAUGUGAAAUGUAAGUGUUCUUAGUUACAUUAAACACUAUUUCAUUCUUCUUAAGGCCUUCCAUGGGCAAGUGGAGGAGAAGAGUGAGUCCAAAGAGGGAGAAGAGAGCCCUCAAUAAUUUUUCCCUGGGUUUUUCUUAAAUAUCAGGCACGUCUCACAAAACAUAACACUGUACCUGUCAAUGUGGAUUUCUCAUUGAAAACAGUUAUGUGUGAACAUUUAGUGGACAGAGACAAAAGAACCAGAUUAUAACUUGACAUUCAAUGGAA
Molecule: long non-coding RNA, 570 nt
Organism: Lynx canadensis (Canada lynx)
Lineage: Eukaryota; Metazoa; Chordata; Mammalia; Carnivora; Felidae
Exons: 3
Source: RefSeq, a predicted model, not a curated record